UAAUUUGUAUGCAAAAACUUUAAUGACAAACAUAGUGAGUAUUUAAUUAACAAUCAAUUCCUGAAACAUAGAAAUCAAUUUAAAAAUGUUACUCUUAGAGCUAACUAAAUUAAUAAAGAAAUUAUGUUUUUGCAAAAUAACUAAAAAUGUUAUUAUAUUAAUUAAUACAAAACACCAUCAAUAACAUUCAAAACCACUUGACUACUAUAUAUAAACAAUUAUAAAUCAUGGUAAUAGGAAAAAAAAACAAAACAAUUCAAAGAAGAAGUUAAAUAGUAAUCAUAAAGAAUUAAGACUAAGACAAUUUUUAUGGCAUUUUUCAUAAUGACCACUUUAGUAUCAUAUGCGUAUCCAAGUUUUGGUCGAGAAGAUGUAGACGUUGAACCACUGGUCAAUCCGGGUCGCGAGUUUGAUACAUUGGAUGUGAUAUCACCGGCUUCGCAAGAUUACAAUAUUUAUAUGCUAGAGAUCCUCCCACCAAAAUACAAAAUGUAUGUCGAAACCUGCAUGGACAAGAUGGAACCCAUUGGAAAAUGUGGUCUCUAUGUUAUUAAAGAGAUUCUUACGAAUGAACCUGUUUCAAGGGAGUGUUGUCUGAAGGUCGUAAAAGCUGGAAAACAAUGCUUCAUCGAGACUAAUAAGUUGAUGUUUCAAUUUUAUAAAGAGUCGCCGUCGUUCCUAUCCCAACUCCGGCAACAUCUCCUCCGUCACGCCGCCAUAGAUUUUGACACCUCCUCGUCAAGUCGCCGUAGACAUCGACGAAACAGAAGGUCUGAUUUGUCUUCUGUUUUAGAUCAACAAAAUUGAACUGUAAGUGCUAAAUCUGUCCAAUUCCAAGUUGUUAUUACAUAUUUUAACAUGUAUUGUUUGAUUGAAUGUUUAAUUUUGAAACCCGUAAAUCCCAAUUUCAACAUUCUUUCCACUUUGAACCGAGACUGUUUUUUUAUGUUUCCUAAUUAAUUUUGGUUAUUUGAUUAUUGUUUUAUUGAUUGUGAAAGUUUAUAGACUCUAAUUCCUAGUUCUUUUACCACCGGCUCACAUUCAACUCUGAGUUAAAGUUUAAUUUUGGUUCUGCUUUUUACAUAACUUUAACUUUCAAUUCCUUUAGUGAGAAAGAAAGUUCCAAACUUUUUUAUUUUGGAUCUAAAAGUGUGAGGCUUUUUUUCCUUCUGUGUACAUGAUCUUUAAUGAUUUGUGAAUUUGUGGGUUUUGGUUAUGUGAUCAAUUCAGGAUAACGUUUACACCGACGAUCCAACACUGUAGUAAGGCAAUUAUAAUUGGUCUGUGUUUGAGAGCUAAGCUUAAAGAAUGCUUGCCCCUCCAUUAUUAUGUCAACUAUGCUUUAAGUAAAAAGAUAGAUUUUUUCAUGGACAAUUCUCAUAAAUAGACAAUUUUUAAGUUUUUGUCACAAAAAUAGACUACAAAGAAGAAAAUGACCAAAAUGUUUCAUUUAAUAGGUAAAAUGACCUUAAUAUCCUAGAUAUAUAAAAUAAAUUAAAAAUUAAAAAAAUAAAUUAAAAAAUUAAAAAAAAAAAAUUUAUAGUUUUAGAUUAUAUGUUUUCAAACUCUAACUUUUUUAUAAAAAGAUUUUUUUUUUGAAUUUUUUUUUAUUUUUAAAUUUCUUUUUGUAAUUCGAAAAUAAUUUUUGAAACUAUUUUUGAAAUUUUUUUUUUCAAAUUUAUAAUAUUUAUUUUCUAUUUUAUAAAAUUUUAAAUCUCAAUCCAAAAUCUCUACCCCUUAACUCUAAACCCUAAAUGUUUGGAUUAGUUAACCCUAUGGGUAUAAGUGUAUAUUUACUUCUUUAAUGAAACAUUUUGGUCAUUUUGAUCAUUUUGAUCUUUAAAAUCUAUAUUUGUGACAUAAAUUUUUUUAAUGCUAUUGGUAUUUCCCUUUUUUCAAUGGUCAUUUGCUAUAUAUAUGUAUGAUUGUUACUGUUUCCUUUUACUCAUGUUCAGGUUUAUAUCGGAGUGUCUCCCGGUUCUCAUGCCGAUGAACAGCUGAAUGAUAAAGAAAGACUUGGUAACUGCAUUGGAGAAUCCUAAUCUCCGUCAGCUUGUGGAUGAGUGUAUCUACUCCAGUGAGAUGUUCAGAGCAUUUUACUUUUACUCUCUUGUACAAAUUUCACAUUUGGGAUUUUGUAUUGUAUGCCUAGGAGACCGCUAUUUGUCUAUUUCUGUGUUUGAGAGCUAAGCUUAAAGAAUGCUUGCCCCUCCAUUAUUAUGUCAACUAUGCUUUAAGUAAAAAGAUAGAUUUUUUCAUGGACAAUUCUCAUAAAUAGACAAUUUUUAAGUUUUUGUCACAAAAAUAGACUACAAAGAAGAAAAUGACCAAAAUGUUUCAUUUAAUAGGUAAAAUGACCUUAAUAUCCUAGAUAUAUAAAAUAAAUUAAAAAUUAAAAAAAUAAAUUAAAAAAUUAAAAAAAAAAAAUUUAUAGUUUUAGAUUAUAUGUUUUCAAACUCUAACUUUUUUAUAAAAAGAUUUUUUUUUUGAAUUUUUUUUUAUUUUUAAAUUUCUUUUUGUAAUUCGAAAAUAAUUUUUGAAACUAUUUUUGAAAUUUUUUUUUUCAAAUUUAUAAUAUUUAUUUUCUAUUUUAUAAAAUUUUAAAUCUCAAUCCAAAAUCUCUACCCCUUAACUCUAAACCCUAAAUGUUUGGAUUAGUUAACCCUAUGGGUAUAAGUGUAUAUUUACUUCUUUAAUGAAACAUUUUGGUCAUUUUGAUCAUUUUGAUCUUUAAAAUCUAUAUUUGUGACAUAAAUUUUUUUAAUGCUAUUGGUAUUUCCCUUUUUUCAAUGGUCAUUUGCUAUAUAUAUGUAUGAUUGUUACUGUUUCCUUUUACUCAUGUUCAGGUUUAUAUCGGAGUGUCUCCCGGUUCUCAUGCCGAUGAACAGCUGAAUGAUAAAGAAAGACUUGGUAACUGCAUUGGAGAAUCCUAAUCUCCGUCAGCUUGUGGAUGAGUGUAUCUACUCCAGUGAGAUGUUCAGAGCAUUUUACUUUUACUCUCUUGUACAAAUUUCACAUUUGGGAUUUUGUAUUGUAUGCCUAGGAGACCGCUAUUUGUCUAUUUUUGUAUUGCUAAUAUUACUCUACACGCUUGAACGUUGUAUACUGCUUUGAUUUGAUAAUGUUACAAACCUUUUUCUUCAUGGUAACCGCAGCUUGAACUUACCAGAAAGAGCAUCAAAUAAGCUGUUGAUUUUUUUUGUGCAACAUAUGAAGCUGUUGACAAAAUAAAAAAAGUUUGAAACUUUUUUUCUCACUAUCACUCGGACUACACCGUGAGAUCAUUAUAAAGAGUCAAAUUUUCACUUUCCGCAGACAGAGAAUGAUGUGAUCCAUAUUUAUCCAAUCAAUAAAGAUUGCAACAAGUUGUUUAAACCACCAUAAAAAAAAAGAAACAACUUGAAAAAAAGAAAAGAGGGAUGAAAGAGAUAAUAUGAUGACAAUUACCAAAAAAAAUAUAUAAUUCUGAUUUUAAUUAACUUAAAAAUAAACCAGAUUCGAAAUUAAUGUAAACCGGAUCGAAACUGAACAUUAAAUUAUGUUUGGUUUAUAUAAAUCCAGAUUUUCGUUAAUAAAGCUGCCACAAUAUGAAUUAAAAAGUCUGUGACCACAUAAAUAAAAAGUCUACCGAUAAUUUUAAAUCAGAUAUAUAACUCUACCGUAAGAAAAUAAGUCGAACAUAAGAAAAUAAGUUGACCACAAAAAUCUACUGUUUAUAAAAUAUCUGCCACUUCAUUCUACAGACAUAGUCUUAUAAAUCUGUUUUCUAUUCAAAUUGGACAAUUAACUCUGUCGUGGAAACAAAUUUAACGUUUUUAAGAAAAUCUGGCACCACUUUAACGGUAGAGUUUUUUUCUAUACAGAUGUUAUGAACAGACUUAUUACUCGAUAUAUUUAUUUUUUUUAAAAUAAAUCGGCCGUCGAUCAAAUGUUAAUGGUGUUUUAGUAAUGUUUUUUUUUGUUAUAACUAUAAGCAAGAGUAAUUAUGACCAGAAAAAUAUUCUAAUAAUUUUUAGAAAAUAUGAGUCAUUCUAGUAAUAACACAAAUUAAUUUGUGUCAUUUUAGUAAACUUCUCUGUAAUAAUAAAAUAAGAAAGUUAAGAAAAGGGCAAAAUUUACUAUUGAAAAAAGAAGCAAAUAUUUUAGUACAUGGGGGAUGACUCUCACUUUACCAUCUAAAUAUUUUAGUCUCUCUCUCUCUCCCUCCUUCCCCAAUUACCCAUCUCAACACAAAACACCAGCUAACAUAAAUCAUCUUCCUCUCUUGUCUCCUAUAGCUCUGAGCUUCACUCAUGGCUGCCUCAUCCUUUGCAGAUGGUAACCAACUUUGACUUUACACAUCUCUGGACGACUUUUCCAAUACGAUCUAGAUUUUUUUGUUAUUGUAUUUGAUUUUUUUUAGCUGGAAAGAGUUUUAGGCAGCAUCAAAGAUUAUUCUCUUACAACUUUAGUAGUUGAUUGAUUAUUUUGCGUGAUUGUCGGAAAAGAAUAACUCAACCGUUUUUCAGACAUGUUGAUCUUCAUGGUCCCUUGUCUUGUCUGUUAAUUACCGAACCACCCAUAUGCUUCUUCACUUAUCAAAAUUCGUACUAUUUUUAUUUAAUCCAAAAUGAUUAUAUCAUAAAUUCACCUAGUUACAUACACAUGUGUGUAAUAUUCCAGAUCUAUGUAGUUGAAUUGAUGUUUGAAUUUGACAUAAAUUUUUUUAAUGCUAUUGGUAUUUCCCUUUUUUCAAUGGUCAUUUGCUAUAUAUAUGUAUGAUUGUUACUGUUUCCUUUUACUCAUGUUCAGGUUUAUAUCGGAGUGUCUCCCGGUUCUCAUGCCGAUGAACAGCUGAAUGAUAAAGAAAGACUUGGUAACUGCAUUGGAGAAUCCUAAUCUCCGUCAGCUUGUGGAUGAGUGUAUCUACUCCAGUGAGAUGUUCAGAGCAUUUUACUUUUACUCUCUUGUACAAAUUUCACAUUUGGGAUUUUGUAUUGUAUGCCUAGGAGACCGCUAUUUGUCUAUUUUUGUAUUGCUAAUAUUACUCUACACGCUUGAACGUUGUAUACUGCUUUGAUUUGAUAAUGUUACAAACCUUUUUCUUCAUGGUAACCGCAGCUUGAACUUACCAGAAAGAGCAUCAAAUAAGCUGUUGAUUUUUUUUGUGCAACAUAUGAAGCUGUUGACAAAAUAAAAAAAGUUUGAAACUUUUUUUCUCACUAUCACUCGGACUACACCGUGAGAUCAUUAUAAAGAGUCAAAUUUUCACUUUCCGCAGACAGAGAAUGAUGUGAUCCAUAUUUAUCCAAUCAAUAAAGAUUGCAACAAGUUGUUUAAACCACCAUAAAAAAAAAGAAACAACUUGAAAAAAAGAAAAGAGGGAUGAAAGAGAUAAUAUGAUGACAAUUACCAAAAAAAAUAUAUAAUUCUGAUUUUAAUUAACUUAAAAAUAAACCAGAUUCGAAAUUAAUGUAAACCGGAUCGAAACUGAACAUUAAAUUAUGUUUGGUUUAUAUAAAUCCAGAUUUUCGUUAAUAAAGCUGCCACAAUAUGAAUUAAAAAGUCUGUGACCACAUAAAUAAAAAGUCUACCGAUAAUUUUAAAUCAGAUAUAUAACUCUACCGUAAGAAAAUAAGUCGAACAUAAGAAAAUAAGUUGACCACAAAAAUCUACUGUUUAUAAAAUAUCUGCCACUUCAUUCUACAGACAUAGUCUUAUAAAUCUGUUUUCUAUUCAAAUUGGACAAUUAACUCUGUCGUGGAAACAAAUUUAACGUUUUUAAGAAAAUCUGGCACCACUUUAACGGUAGAGUUUUUUUCUAUACAGAUGUUAUGAACAGACUUAUUACUCGAUAUAUUUAUUUUUUUUAAAAUAAAUCGGCCGUCGAUCAAAUGUUAAUGGUGUUUUAGUAAUGUUUUUUUUUGUUAUAACUAUAAGCAAGAGUAAUUAUGACCAGAAAAAUAUUCUAAUAAUUUUUAGAAAAUAUGAGUCAUUCUAGUAAUAACACAAAUUAAUUUGUGUCAUUUUAGUAAACUUCUCUGUAAUAAUAAAAUAAGAAAGUUAAGAAAAGGGCAAAAUUUACUAUUGAAAAAAGAAGCAAAUAUUUUAGUACAUGGGGGAUGACUCUCACUUUACCAUCUAAAUAUUUUAGUCUCUCUCUCUCUCCCUCCUUCCCCAAUUACCCAUCUCAACACAAAACACCAGCUAACAUAAAUCAUCUUCCUCUCUUGUCUCCUAUAGCUCUGAGCUUCACUCAUGGCUGCCUCAUCCUUUGCAGAUGGUAACCAACUUUGACUUUACACAUCUCUGGACGACUUUUCCAAUACGAUCUAGAUUUUUUUGUUAUUGUAUUUGAUUUUUUUUAGCUGGAAAGAGUUUUAGGCAGCAUCAAAGAUUAUUCUCUUACAACUUUAGUAGUUGAUUGAUUAUUUUGCGUGAUUGUCGGAAAAGAAUAACACAACCGUUUUUCAGACAUGUUGAUCUUCAUGGUCCCUUGUCUUGUCUGUUAAUUACCGAACCACCCAUAUGCUUCUUCCCUUAUCAAAAUUCGUACUAUUUUUAUUUAAUCCAAAAUGAUUAUAUCAUAAAUUCACAUAGUUACAUACACAUGUGUGUAAUAUUCCAGAUCUAUGUAGUUGAAUUGAUGUUUGAUUUUCUUCAGGAGAAAAAGAUAUGGUGAAAGGUGGAAUGAUUCUACAAUCUACUGAGUCUCAAAACCCUAUGUUAGAUCCUUCACCAACGCCUUCACCAUCCGCAACAGCAACUGCACCAGCUUUGGUUCUGUCUAACUCAGGCAAAAGAAUGGAUCAAGCUGGGAAGAAAAAGUACGUGAAGCAAGUCACAGGUCGCCACAACGACACUGAGCUUCACUUAGCUGCUCAGCGUGGCGAUUUGUCGGCUGUGCAGCAGAUUCUCAAGGAUAUUAACUCUCAGAUGGAAGGGACUCUGAGCGGGGAAGAGUUUGACGCUGAAGUUGCUGAGAUCAGGGCUUCGAUUGUGACUGAGGUGAAUGAGUUAGGCGAGACCGCGCUCUUCACUGCUGCUGAUAAAGGUCAUCUUGAUGUUGUGAAAGAGCUUGUAUGUCGAAACCUGCAUGGACAAGAUGGAACCCAUUGGAAAAUGUGGUCUCUAUGUUAUUAAAGAGAUUCUUACGAAUGAACCUGUUUCAAGGGAGUGUUGUCUGAAGGUCGUAAAAGCUGGAAAACAAUGCUUCAUCGAGACUAAUAAGUUGAUGU
Molecule: long non-coding RNA, 7217 nt
Filed under: Brassica napus (rape)
Lineage: Eukaryota; Viridiplantae; Streptophyta; Magnoliopsida; Brassicales; Brassicaceae
Description: long non-coding RNA (BNAP_LNC026530)
Source: RNAcentral